UACGGGGGGGGCAAGCGUUGUUCGGAAUUACUGGGCGUAAAGGGCUCGUAGGCGGCCAACUAAGUCGGACGUGAAAUCCCCAGGCUCAACCUGGGAACUGCGUCCGAUACUGGAUGGCUUGAAUUCGGGAGAGGGAUGCAGAAUUCCAGGUGUAGCGGUGAAAUGCGUAGAUAUCUGGAGGAAUACCGGUGGCGAAGGCGGCAUCCUGGACCGACAUUGACGCUGAUGAGCGAAAGCCAGGGGAGCAAACGGG
This 253-nucleotide ribosomal RNA is filed under the name uncultured bacterium. RNAcentral's name for it is "partial 16S ribosomal RNA". It matches the Rfam family "Bacterial small subunit ribosomal RNA", at positions 524 to 776 of the family's 1533-position model. RNAcentral also lists the same sequence under 1 other name. The record is from RNAcentral.